UUUAUUGAAUUUUCUUGCUAACAGAAUACAUACACAGUUAUGCUGAAUAAGGCUGGCUGUUUGUCAUGACAAGAAAAUGGGAAUAAAUCUGGGACCACAGUAUCUUAACGAAGCUGUUUGCUACAGGGCGUUUGGAGGUUAUGCCCUAUAUUUUACUGCAAACAAAUUAGAAAUGAUUUAGUGGUGUUUAUCUAGUGACUGAAAAACCUGUUCCCCGCCUACAUAACUUGCAGGGAGCACUCAGGGCCCAAUCCCGCAGGUGCAUCUGGACUGCUGCGUUCGAGGAUCCCCUUACACGGAUUUGACUGUGGAACCGGGGCCACGUUUGUAGAAGCUCAAGCAGCCCGUCUCAGCCACAAGCAGAUGAGGUAUCCAUACUGAAGAUUUAACUCCAGUUCUUGCACACGCUGAUUUCUUAUGAGAUUGACCUCACUAUGACCGAGGGCCUCAUAGCCAUUGUAAGCUAAUAUCUUACGUGAUUAUUCUGCAAGCAUGGGGAUCCAGUUUCUCCUUUUUCUCCUUUUGGUCCAUCAAUUCCCUAAACGGUGGCCCAGGCAAUCCAAGCUCUCCCUGAAGUAGCACAAAGGAAUAAAGGUCAGAAUUUUUUUUAAAAGCAUUUUGUACACUAGGAAAUUCUCCAUUUGGGUAUCCAUCCACCAGACGUGAUGGAGGGCAGCUCCUCAGUACUGUAAGGCUCGUGAGCAGCCUGAGGUAGAAAAUGACAUCUGUGUUUUUCAAGUGAAGUGCCAGGUUUCAUAACUCAAUGAAAAUUUGAAUUGUGCUGAAGGAAAGAGGAACAUUAAGAGCUGGACCAUGCUAAUACCUCUCCCUAGCAAGGUUCAGAAGUGGAGAUGCCCAAUAUCAAAACCUUUCCUGCAUGUCGCCUUUUGUGCUAUGAGACACAUUUGUCCAGCCUUGCUAAAAGCUGUUGUCACAGGGGGAUGCAUCCACCCACUGUUCCACAUGGAAAACCCCUAUCGAUACACAGAGAAGCUUGACAUGAGGAUGUGGAGACAUUCUGGGGAGACAUCCUAUGGAGAAUGAUAAUAUCCAGGAAGAGUCAUCAGAUUAGAAGCAACUUUCAUCAGUCAUAUCUUGUCCAGCUCUCUGCAGAAGGCAGGAGGCACUGUCCCUAAACCUGUAUGCACGGAAGCUUAUCUAGCCUCUUCUUGGAGCCUCUAUUGAAGGAGAUGCAACAGCUCUCUGGGCCCACUGGUUCAGGGGUACAAUAACCUGGGUAUACAGGAUAACUUUAUCAAAGGUACAGCUGGAGAACCUUCCCACCCAUUCAGCCCCACUCUACCAGGAAAUAAAACAUUAACCUAUUAAGACCACAGCAAUGUGAUUAAAGAAAAAUUGAAAUACAAAAUGCUAACACAACAGGAAAACCCUCCCAAGCUUCUGCGGAAAUCCUGCAGGCCAUUGCAAACUGUUAUCCUUACUAGAGACUCUGACAGACAGGAUGUUUGACAACCCUUUGACGGGGACAUAUAUUUUGUCAUUUGUAAACGAACCCAAAGAGACACUGGAUUGCACACCCACCCACCUAGUGUGGAACUAAUUGGCGCUUUGUUAUUCUGAGCCCCUCGUUUCCAUUAUUAACGUGGUUCACAUUGCAAUGUUUGUUCAUGUUUUAAACUCUUCAAGGCAGUCACUUUUUACGAGGUGUGUUUACUAAAAAAAGAAGUGAGUGGGCAGACAGGCAACGUAACUAACAAGCAGCAGAGCGGUAAAGGCAGAGUCAGCGGCAGUUUACUGAUUUGCCCCUGAGCCAUCUCACCAUGCAACACACGGGGCAGGAUGCAGACCAAGGAGCCAUCAGUCAUUGUUAGUUGACUGAGUCGCCAAACAUUGGAUGGACCCUUUCCAGUGAACUCAGUCCACAAAUUCCACUCACAAAGCCACAUGCUGUGCUCUUCUGUCAAGGCAACCCAUGCAGACAUCUGGCAUACAGUAAUUACCAUCACUUUGUGUCUCCCUGCAGCCUGUUAUAAAACAAUUAGGAUGGUUUUCAAAUGUGUCUGCAAUUAAAUUAUU
Molecule: long non-coding RNA, 2037 nt
Organism: Alligator sinensis (Chinese alligator)
Lineage: Eukaryota; Metazoa; Chordata; Crocodylia; Alligatoridae
Exons: 5
Source: RefSeq, a predicted model, not a curated record